RNAcentral lists this ribosomal RNA (475 nucleotides) under uncultured bacterium. Its description in RNAcentral is "bacterial SSU rRNA". It matches the Rfam family "Bacterial small subunit ribosomal RNA", at positions 15 to 518 of the family's 1533-position model. The record is from RNAcentral.
GAUCUUGGUUCAGGAUGAACGCUGGCGGCGUGCCUAACACAUGCAAGUCGAGCGAUUACUUCGGUAAAGAGCGGCGGACGGGUGAGUAACGCGUGGGUAACCUGCCUCAUACACAUGGAUAACAUACCGAAAGGUAUGCUAAUACAGGAUAAUAUAAGAGAUUCACAUGGAUUUCUUAUCAAAGCUCCGGCGGUAUGAGAUGGACCCGCGUCUGAUUAGCUAGUUGGUAAGGUAAUGGCUUACCAAGGCGACGAUCAGUAGCCGACCUGAGAGGGUGAUCGGCCACAUUGGAACUGAGACACGGUCCAAACUCCUACGGGAGGCAGCAGUGGGGAAUAUUGCACAAUGGGCGAAAGCCUGAUGCAGCAACGCCGCGUGAGUGAUGAAGGCCUUCGGGUCGUAAAACUCUGUCCUCAAGGAAGAUAAUGACGGUACUUGAGGAGGAAGCCCCGGCUAACUACGUGCCAGCCGCGGC